This 255-nucleotide ribosomal RNA is filed under the name uncultured bacterium. RNAcentral's name for it is "partial 16S ribosomal RNA". It matches the Rfam family "Bacterial small subunit ribosomal RNA", at positions 524 to 776 of the family's 1533-position model. The record is from RNAcentral.
UACGGUAGGGACCAAGCGUUGUCCGGAAUCAUUGGGCGUAAAGCGCGCGUAGGUGGCCAUUUAAGUCCGCUGUGAAAAGUCAGAGGCUCAACCUUUGAAAGCCGGUGGAUACUGGAUGGCUAGAGUACGGAAGAGGCGAGUGGAAUUCCUGGUGUAGCGGUGGAAUGCGCAGAUAUCAGGAGGAACACCAAUAGCGAAGGCAGCUCGCUGGGACGUUACUGACACUAAGGCGCGAAAGCGUGGGGAGCGAACAGG